RNAcentral lists this ribosomal RNA (492 nucleotides) under uncultured bacterium. RNAcentral describes it as "partial 16S ribosomal RNA". It matches the Rfam family "Bacterial small subunit ribosomal RNA", at positions 29 to 507 of the family's 1533-position model. The record is from RNAcentral.
AGUGAACGCUGGCGGUAGGCCUAACACAUGCAAGUCGAACGGCAGCACAGUAAGAGCUUGCUCUUACGGGUGGCGAGUGGCGGACGGGUGAGGAAUACAUCGGAAUCUACUUUUUCGUGGGGGAUAACGUAGGGAAACUUACGCUAAUACCGCAUACGACCUACGGGUGAAAGCAGGGGAUCUUCGGACCUUGCGCGAUUGAAUGAGCCGAUAUCGGAUUAGCUAGUUGGCGGGGUAAAGGCCCACCAAGGCGACGAUCCGUAGCUGGUCUGAGAGGAUGAUCAGCCACACUGGAACUGAGACACGGUCCAGACUCCUACGGGAGGCAGCAGUGGGGAAUAUUGGACAAUGGGCGCAGGCCUGAUCCAGCCAUACCGCGUGGGUGAAGAAGGCCUUCGGGUUGUAAAGCCCUUUUGUUGGGAAAGAAAAGCAGCAGGUUAAUACCCCGCUGUUCUGACGGUACCCAAAGAAUAAGCACCGGCUAACUUCGUG